This 714-nucleotide unclassified non-coding RNA is filed under the name uncultured cyanobacterium. RNAcentral's name for it is "partial contains 16S ribosomal RNA, 16S-23S ribosomal RNA intergenic spacer, and 23S ribosomal RNA". The stretch from base 1 to 112 matches the Rfam family "Bacterial small subunit ribosomal RNA", at positions 1423 to 1533 of the family's 1533-position model. Lineage: Bacteria; Bacillati; Cyanobacteriota. The record is from RNAcentral.
GAAGUCGUUACUCCAACCCUUGUGGAGGAGGACGCCGAAGGUGGGGCUAAUGACUGGGGUGAAGUCGUAACAAGGUAGCCGUACCGGAAGGUGCGGCUGGAUCACCUCCUAACAGGGAGACAACAAAAUGUAAAUAUUAAUUUUGUCACCUUAGGUCGAUCGGUAUCUCAGAUUCUUAUUAUUUAAGAAUUUCAGUUUCUAAGUUUCUUCUAGGUCACACCCAUCACUUUUUCCUGGGCCAUUAGCUCAGGUGGUUAGAGCGCACCCCUGAUAAGGGUGAGGUCCCUGGUUCAAGUCCAGGAUGGCCCAUAUCUCUAUGUUGGGGGUAUAGCUCAGUUGGUAGAGCGCCUGCUUUGCAAGCAGGAUGUCAGCGGCUCGAGUCCGCUUACCUCCACUGAAUACCACCUCUUACAUAUAGUUGAAGUGGGAAAUUGUUUUGAGUCGUGUCCUAAUUUGCUCUGAGCGAAUCUAGCUUCCUAUUUUAUCCAAGAAAUAAGAUGCUGGACUCAUUGAAUUUUUUUCAUUGUUUUCAGAGAACCUUGACAACUGCAUAGAUUAUUUUUAAAGACAAUAAGCAUCUUUAAUGAUGCAGAUUUAUUAUUUGUGCGAAUGCAUUAAAUAACAAUUCUAUUAAGCUGAUGCUUCAAUUAUUGAAGUUAUUGGUCAAGCUACAAAGGGCUCACGGAGGAUACCUAGGCACACAGAGGCGAUGAA